CCUACGGGAGGCAGCAGUGAGGAAUAUUGGUCAAUGGACGAGAGUCUGAACCAGCCAAGCAGCGUGAAGGAUGACUGCCCUCUGGGUUGUAAACUUCUUUUAUAUGGGAAUAAAAUGUUCCACGUGUGGGAUUUUGUAUGUACCAUAUGAAUAAGGAUCGGCUAACCCCGUGCCAGCAGCAGCGGUAAUACGGAGGACCCGAGCGUUGUCCGGAUUUAUUGGGUUUAAGGGGCGCGUAGGGGGAUUGUUAAGUCAGUUGUGAAAGUCUGGGGCUCAACCGUAAAAUUGCAGUUGAAACUGGCAGUCUGGAGUACAGGAGAGGUGGGCGGAAUUCGUGGUGUAGCGGUGAAAUGCUUAGAUAUCACGAAGAACUCCGAUUGCGAAGGCAGUUCACUGGACUGCAACUGACACUGAGGCUCGAAAGUGUGGGUAUCAAACAGGAUUAGAUACCCCAGUAGUC
This 460-nucleotide ribosomal RNA is filed under the name uncultured bacterium. RNAcentral describes it as "partial 16S ribosomal RNA". It matches the Rfam family "Bacterial small subunit ribosomal RNA", at positions 338 to 795 of the family's 1533-position model. The record is from RNAcentral.